This 405-nucleotide ribosomal RNA is filed under the name uncultured bacterium. Its description in RNAcentral is "bacterial SSU rRNA". It matches the Rfam family "Bacterial small subunit ribosomal RNA", at positions 29 to 419 of the family's 1533-position model. The record is from RNAcentral.
AACGAACGCUGGCGGCGUGGAUUAGGCAUGCAAGUCGAACGAGAAAGCACCCUUCGGGGUGCAAGUACAGUGGCGGACUGGUGAGUAACGCGUGGGAAACCUGCCUUCGAGUGGGGGAUAACAGUUCUAACGGACUGCUAAUACCGCAUAACGCUGUUGUUCGCAUGUUCAACAGUUAAAGAUGGCCUCUACAUGUAAGCUGUCGCUUGAUGAUGGUCCCGCGUCCAUUAGCUAGUUGGUGAGGUAACGGCUCACCAAGGCAACAAUGGGUAGCCGGCCUGAGGGGGUGGUCGGCCACACUGGGACUGAGAUACGGCCCAGACUCCUACGGGAGGCAGCAGUCGAGAGGCUUCGGCAAUGGGGAAACCCUGACGCAGCGACGCCGCGUGAGGGAUGACGGCCUGG